This 139-nucleotide ribosomal RNA is filed under the name uncultured eukaryote. RNAcentral describes it as "partial 18S ribosomal RNA". It matches the Rfam family "Eukaryotic small subunit ribosomal RNA", at positions 1299 to 1458 of the family's 1831-position model. The record is from RNAcentral.
UGGUGGAGUGAUUUGUCUGGUUAAUUCCGUUAACGAACGAGACCUUAGCCUACUAACUAGUCGUUUCAAUCCCGAUUGACUACGACUUCUUAGAGGGACUUUGUGGCAAAUAAACACAAGGAAGUUUGAGGCAAUAACA